AUGAAUGAAAUAUUGAAGCUUGUCAUUUGGCUAGUGACUAUUACUUUGACCAGCUCUUUGACCAGCAUUUUUUUUUAUCUAGUGGCAGAGCUGAAGCAGAUGUUGAUGCAGGACAGCUUGGCUAUGAAGAAUUCGUGGCGGGUGAGGAGGUUGGUGUUUGGAAGAACUGAUGACCAGCAUGAUGAGGAGAUUCCUCACCGUGGUGACCAGCUCAGUUUUCUAAACUGUGUUCCCUGGAUGUUAACAAGUGAUUCAAGAAGUUUCUGUGAUAUUUGAAGCCCGAGUGUCAUUGGGAGCUCAUGCUUGAAGCCUUGUCAGACAAAAGGGCUUAUCUGGGAAGUUAUGUCCUCAUGUCUCUGUCUCUCUCGAGUUCACGCCAUGGGAUCCACAAAGUUAUGUGUCCAUGUGGUGCGACUCCACCACACAGGCAAAUCUAUGCCCUUAAAUCGGAUGCAUGUGAAAUGGGAAAACAUAAUAAAAUGUGAUUUUAAGAUAUUGGCUCGUGAAAGCACCUGGGUGACUCACCAGUUGAGUGUCUCCCCUCGGCUCAAGGCAUGAUCCUGGGGUCCUGGGAUCAAGUCCUGCCUUGGGUUUCCUGCAUGGAGCCUGCUUCUCCCUUUGCCUGUGUCUCUCCCUCUCUCUCAUGAAUAAAUAAAAUCCCUUAAAAAAAGAAAAAAUAAGAUAUUGACUCA
RNAcentral lists this long non-coding RNA (692 nucleotides) under Canis lupus familiaris (dog). Its description in RNAcentral is "lncRNA (ENSCAFG00845029728.1)". Lineage: Eukaryota; Metazoa; Chordata; Mammalia; Carnivora; Canidae. The record is from RNAcentral.